GAUGAACGCUGGCGGCGUGCCUAAUACAUGCAAGUCGAGCGAACGGACGAGAAGCUUGCUUCUCUGAUGUUAGCGGCGGACGGGUGAGUAACACGUGGAUAACCUACCUAUAAGACUGGGAUAACUUCGGGAAACCGUAGCUAAUACCGGAUAAUAUUUUAAACCGCAUGGUUCAAAAGUGAAAGACGGUCUUGCUGUCACUUAUAGAUGGAUCCGCGCUGCAUUAGCUAGUUGGUAAGGUAACGGCUUACCAAGGCAACGAUGCAUAGCCGACCUGAGAGGGUGAUCGGCCACACUGGAACUGAGACACGGUCCAGACUCCUACGGGGGGCAGCAGUAGGGAAUCUUCCGCAAUGGGCGAAAGCCUGACGGAGCAACGCCGCGUGAGUGAUGAAGGUCUUCGGAUCGUAAAACUCUGUUAUUAGGGAAGAACAUAUGUGUAAGUAACUGUGCACAUCUUGACGGUACCUAAUCAGAAAGCCACGGCUAACUACGUG
This 497-nucleotide ribosomal RNA is filed under the name uncultured bacterium. RNAcentral's name for it is "partial 16S ribosomal RNA". It matches the Rfam family "Bacterial small subunit ribosomal RNA", at positions 28 to 507 of the family's 1533-position model. The record is from RNAcentral.